AGACUGCUUAGCAAUGCUGGAAUCUUGGAGACAUCAGCAUGCUUAUGUCACAAGCCACAUCUGUCACUGCAGGAUUUGUGUUUGUCCUCACGUUAAUAAUAACUGAUGGAGGCACCAAGUCGCCUUCCCUUAAAAGCAAGGAGUCUGAAUAUCAGUUUGGGAAGAGGUGCUUCAAAGAUCAAACCAGGCCCAUGACAGUGACAUGUACAGAGAGGAAGAAACCGGACAGCUGAGGAAGGCCCAUGAUUUAAAAACUAUUAGAUUCAUCCAUUCAGUACUUGGUUACUGGUCACUCAGCAUUGCUCUGGUGUGGAAGUUCAAAAGAUGAGUGAGAAAUGUCUGUGACUCAAAAGGAUUACAGUAAAGACAAGGGUACAUAAAUCUUCACUUGGUUCUAUGUUCCACAUAGUUCUUGUGCUGGUCAACUGUAUUUUUUUCCCCAGCAAAUAUAACAUUAAUGGGUAACUUGUGAAGCAACUGUCUAAUGUGACAUUUGGGUUACUUUUUGAAAUAGGUGCACAAGUCUGUUCACAGCAUCAUACGGCUUUUUAUUGUAUAAAUAAACACCUGGUGGCUCAGUUUCAGCAUAAAUUUCUAAAUUCUAUGUGUAAAAUGUCUUUGCAUCUACCAGGACAUAUAUUUUUAUAUCACAUUUGGAAGGUUUAUUUGGCAUAUGUUGCUACAACCUUCAACAACCAUGAAAUGAUUCAAAUUGUUCCUCCAUUAUCAUGUACUC
RNAcentral lists this long non-coding RNA (736 nucleotides) under Heterocephalus glaber (naked mole-rat). RNAcentral describes it as "lncRNA (ENSHGLG00100030494.2)". Lineage: Eukaryota; Metazoa; Chordata; Mammalia; Rodentia; Bathyergidae. The record is from RNAcentral.